This 54-nucleotide ribosomal RNA is filed under the name Chilostoma trizona. RNAcentral describes it as "partial 5.8S ribosomal RNA". It matches the Rfam family "5.8S ribosomal RNA", at positions 1 to 53 of the family's 154-position model. From Rfam's summary of the family: 5.8S ribosomal RNA (5.8S rRNA) is a component of the large subunit of the eukaryotic ribosome. It is transcribed by RNA polymerase I as part of the 45S precursor that also contains 18S and 28S rRNA. Functionally, it is thought that 5.8S rRNA may be involved in ribosome translocation. Lineage: Eukaryota; Metazoa; Mollusca; Gastropoda; Stylommatophora; Helicidae. The record is from RNAcentral.
UAACUUUGAGCGGUGGAUCACUCGGCUCGUGCAUCGAUGAUGAACGCAGCAUCG